This is a long non-coding RNA of Myotis daubentonii (Daubenton's bat), 434 nucleotides long. RefSeq lists it as uncharacterized. The record is from RefSeq and is a predicted model, not a curated record. NCBI's taxonomy places the organism in Eukaryota, Metazoa, Chordata, Mammalia, Chiroptera, Vespertilionidae. The transcript is spliced from 3 exons.
ACAGCUGGUAAAAAUGGUUCAAGAUAAAACAAAUGUACGUUCAUCUACUUUAGAAGAACAGGUUUCGCAACUCUAUAUUCACUCCACAUUCAUAUGCCCUCUGAGUGAGGGUCUCAUGUCAUGACAGAAAAUGUAAUAAACGAUGAAGAACUUUCACCCAAACCCACAAAAGCCACAUUCCUGAACUAAAGACAGCCUUUGUCUCCAUCUGUCUUUUUCUUUUUUUUCGCGACAAUGGCUCUGAUGGAAACUUCUGAGAAACUACAGGAGCCACAACCCAUCUUGAUUAUAAUCAAUGACAAUGACUGCUCCCCAGAAGAUAAACAUGCCUGGAGUCCCUCAGAUCUGUGUACAAACAGCUCUUGUAGUCUUUUCCUCAAAAUAAUUCCAGGAUGCACAGUUAGGUGAGGACCAUUCCAUUUAAUGGGCUGCAG